UCAGCUCAAACUGCAGAACCGCUCUGUGUGGCAACUGUUGAACAAAAUGGACUCUCACAAGGAGGAGGGAAAAAUCCCACAGGAAAAGAAGGAGAGGAAGAAAAAUCAAUGCAAGGGACUUGGGGGGGGACGACGAGAGGCGAAAGCAGGAUUUUCCUCAAGGCACGGCCAGAUUUAUUUCACCUGUAAUUAACAAAUGAAGGAAACAUACCUGCCCGAACCUGGGAAUCCUAGCACGCGUGUGCCCUGUGUGCAGAUACUGAAUGCAUGUACUGAAGCAGAGAGGUCCUCUUCAAACCUCAUUAAUGCCUUCAUGCAACUGUCAAAGACAUAGUCCGACCUGCAAUUAACAUUAUUAUGUUAAUAAUAUAACUAAUGUUAGUAAUAUAACUGGAUCAACUUCUCAUCGGCAGUAGUUUCUUUUAAUUACUCUUCAAACUAAAUAAAAUGGCAGUUUAUAGUUCAGCUGUGUGGCAAAAUAUGAUUUAGAUUAAAUGAACAAAGUUUUUACAAAAACUGUAAAUGUAAACUAUGCAUACUAUCAACAAGCGAGUUAAUUAGAUGUGCAGACCUCCAACCCAAAUCAGAGCGGUAGGGAAGAUUGCAGAGUGGUAUUCAAAGGGGUGGAACAUCGAGUGCAGAAGAUCGUCCUAACGUUACCACAGUCCAUGAACAAUCCUCUAGUUCCUCAUACAACUGAAAUAACACACCAAAAUAUCUGCAUGCAAUGGAUAUUUCCUCUCUGCCACUGCGGCAGUAAUAAUCUCAGUUCAGCACUAUAGAGAUGCUCAGACUCUCCAUUAUAACCACUCAGACAUAAAACUGAUGAAUGACAUUUUAUGAUUAAUUAUCCACAGUUUUUAAAAUCACUUUUCAGUUGUUGUGAGAAAUCCUGGAAAUCCUGCAAAAAGAGUGAUAUAUUCCCAGGAAGUAAUAAUUUUAACCGUCAACCCUAAUUAACACACUAUCGCAGAUGUAACCUUGAAAUACUGGAGGAAAAUCUUCCCAGAAACUGGCAGAGGAAUUCUACCAAACUUCCUUUAAGUCAGACUAGUAUUUCAGAGAGCUGCUUAUGGUGAGGGUGUGUUUGUUGUGUUUACUAUGGUGGGGACUGACCAUCUACAGAGUGAUGGCACAGUGUCAGGCAGCAGCAGAUAGGACAC
Long non-coding RNA from Siniperca chuatsi (mandarin fish), 1163 nucleotides. RefSeq lists it as uncharacterized. The record is from RefSeq and is a predicted model, not a curated record. Lineage: Eukaryota; Metazoa; Chordata; Actinopteri; Centrarchiformes; Sinipercidae. The transcript is spliced from 3 exons.